GUGAUGAUGACGAAUUUCUUCCUUUAUUCGUGAACAAUCUAAUUGAUAUAUAAAUCUGUGAUUUUACUAUGUUCAUAACUUCGAUGAACCAAAGCAAGUUAUAUAUCGACCUGUAUUUAAAUCAAAUUGGUUCUCUUCUUCUUCUUCUUCUUCUUCUUCUUUUGGUAUGCAAUAGUCUAUUGAAUUCGUUGAUUACAUACUGUUGGCAUAC
Molecule: long non-coding RNA, 211 nt
Filed under: Mytilus galloprovincialis (Mediterranean mussel)
Lineage: Eukaryota; Metazoa; Mollusca; Bivalvia; Mytilida; Mytilidae
Source: RNAcentral